This is an RNA transcript of Gossypium arboreum, 1931 nucleotides long. RefSeq lists it as uncharacterized. NCBI's taxonomy places the organism in Eukaryota, Viridiplantae, Streptophyta, Magnoliopsida, Malvales, Malvaceae. The record is from RefSeq and is a predicted model, not a curated record. The transcript is spliced from 7 exons.
AUAGUUCCAAUUUUAUCACUUUUUUUUAAAGAAAAUCUUGUUUUAUCCAAAAUCAAAUUAUAUAUACUAAAAUGUUUUUCUUAAAUUUCCUUUUAAAAAUUCCCAACCCGCUCUCAUCUGUCUUCCCCAAGUAAGCCUCUCACCGCCGCUCUGCCCCCGGCUUCGGCUUUCUCUCCUUCCAGUCCCUGAACCAACUCCGUUCAACUUAUCGGCACCCCUGGGAAUUGAAUAGGUGCCUGUCGCAAGUUGUCUCCUGCCUUCCAAGUUUUAGACAGGUCAGGGAUUAAUUAAGUGCCUGGCGCAAGUUGUCUCCUGCCUUCUAGUUUUCGACAGAGCAGGGAGUUAAAUAAGAUUCAGCUAUGGACAUUGACCAUUACAACGUCCUGGGUUUGCCUUCCGGCGAGGAAGGAGCUAAUUUGACUCAAAAAGAAAUUACCAAGGCUUACAGAGAAAAAGCCCGUGAUCUUCAUCCUGAUAAACGAAAAGAUGACCCAAAUGCUCAUGAGAACUUCAUAAAGCUCAAAUCCUCAUACGAAAUUCUGGUUGAUGAAAAAGCCCGAAAGCUCUUUGAUGAUCUCCUCCGGGUGAAACGUGAACAGCAACGUCGUUUUGCACAGCAAGACUCAAAGCGACGAAAAAUGAUGUCAGAUUUGGAAGAUAGGGAACGUGCUUCAUUUGCACCAGAUCCUGCCAUGAAGGCUAAAGAGGAAGAGGAGAGAAUUGCUAGGAAAUUGAAAGAGGAGAUUGCAAGGAUACGUGCAAUGCAAGCAAAUAAAGGUGCAAGUAUGGGGACGGGCUCAGGUCAAGAAAAGGUGGGGAGAGAAGGGAACAGUGGGGUUGGGGGCCAUGUGGGAGUGGAUAAAGAGAGAGUUUUAAAGGUUUCUUGGGAAAAAAUUGGCGAAGGUUAUACAGCGGAGAAGUUAAGGGAACUGUUUUCUAGGUUUGGUGAAGUUGAAGAUAUUGUAGUGAACAGUUCAAAGAAAAAGGGGUCUGCGCUUGUUGUCAUGGCUACAAAACAUGCAGUUGAUUCUGCUACAGGCAGUGUUAGUGGGAAUCUAGAUAAUCCAUUGUUAGUUGUGCCUCUUAAACCCUCUGUUGCGGAGUUUCCAGCCCCCAAGAAGGAAGAGCAAAGUGAUCGAUUGAGUAAUUUGGUUGGAGCUGGUUACCAAGCUUUUGAAGAUGCUGUUUUAAAUAAACUGACAAAGGCUGCCGAAAAACAACAAAAAUGAUGACAAAAAGGUCUUAGGAGCAGAUUGCAAAUGCAUCAGUGGCAUUUUAUCCACAGAUGUUUUGCCAACAUGUCCUAAGUUCGGGAUUGAAUUUCAGCUUUCUGAAGUUUACCUUUUAAGAAGAGAGAUGAACCAUUCGGGUUAAAGACACAAGUUCUUAUGAUGAAACCAAGGGUUAUGUGAAGCAACCAUGGGAUAUGGGGCUGAUUUUGAGCGUUUCCUUGUUGCCCCAUGCUUGGUCAAAUGAAGGAAAAGUGGGCAUCUCGAUGAUGGGAGGCUCAGGCUGUUCUUUUUGGGGUUGGGUGGUUGGUUAAGAUGCAGCCAUGCUGGUCAAUUUUGGUGAGGUGGAGAGUGACCCAAAGCUUCUUGCAGGCAGUGAUUCAACAAUAUCAUCGAUUUCCUUGUGUUCAUAGAGAUUUCUUUUACUCGUACUAUAAACUGGAAACAAACCUGCCCUUAUUUAGCAGGCUUUGCCGUAGGUGAUGGUAACGCCGUGCGGUACCAAGAGUUCACCAAAUCGUAUUAGUUAAUGGCUUUGCAAUGAUUUUACAAAAUGGUGCAUUUCUUUUUUUCAUUUUUGCGGACUAAAUUUGUAACAAGGUAUUUUUUUUAAAUAAAAAAUAUCAUACAUGGUAUCACAUUAUAGCCUUCUUGUAAUAUAGGGUGUAAUUGUAAUUUAAUUACAGCUCAUGUCUUAGGAAA